Setaria italica (foxtail millet) is the source of this 1534-nucleotide RNA transcript. RefSeq lists it as uncharacterized. The transcript is spliced from 4 exons. The record is from RefSeq and is a predicted model, not a curated record. NCBI's taxonomy places the organism in Eukaryota, Viridiplantae, Streptophyta, Magnoliopsida, Poales, Poaceae.
AUCUUCAGCCCGGCCAUGGACCGCGCGACGCGGCGGCGGCCAGAAUCCUUCUCCUCCACGCGACAUGGCCGCCGGGCUCCUCCUCCCCAACGCGCCGUGGACGGGGGCGGUCUCCUGUGCCCGGACGAGGGCGACGAGAUCCACGGCAGCCCCGGGAUCCUCGUCGGGGAGUCCAUGAUGGCCGGGAUCCUCGUCGUGGAGUCCACGGCGACCAGGAUCCACAGCAGCGACGGGAUCCUCGGCGCUCAGGCGACGCGGCGGCCGGGAUCCACCCAGCCUCCAUCGAGCACCGCCGUCCAGGGACCACCGGUUCGCUGGAAUCAGGUGCUGCUAGCAUUGACGAAUCAGUCGCCAUGGUGGAGAUCAAGGUUAGAUGACUUAGAGUUUUGCACCCAUGAUGUGGCUGGCAGGUGGUGUCACCUGCAGGAGUUAGAACCUGUUUUUUUUAAAAACAUUUCUGCUUAUCCCAAGGUAUCCUUCCAAGCAACUUCACUGCAAAGGGAAAAUCACUGUAUGUGCUAGUUUUAGGCCGCACUAAUGUAGUUCAAUUAGAUCUUGUAAAAUAUAUUUUCUGGUUAGAUGACUUUAAUAUGGCAACAAUGGUAGUGAAGUACAACUUACCAUAACUUGAGCUUUUAAUCCAGCUUUGUGGUCUUCUGGUCUUGCAAGCAUGUUUCAUUAUCCUGAAGAUUCACUCAAGAAAAAUGAACCUGAUGUGAAUAUUGAUUUGAAAAAGCUCAUGGAAAAGGUGAAUGGGGCCUGAUGAGCUGAGAUGGAUCAGUUCAGACUUCUGAGAAGCUCAAGUGGCUCCUAAAGGUACCCGAUCUGAAUGAGAGCACUUCAGAAGUUCAACAAAUCAUGCUGGAAUCUGAUGUGCCCAACAUGAUAAGAACCUCUGCGGGCGUGGCCCACCUCCGCCUCCAACGGUUACGAUUCUGCUUUAGCAUUGAUUUUGGUUAUUUUUGUUUCUGUCUAUUGAAUGCUGAAUCUUCUAAUUUUUUGUUCACUUGCUUGAAUAAAUUUACACGAGAUACAAACAGUUCACUCGUCUGUCUUCAAAUCAUUGUUUUUUCGGUUGUGUUUGAGUUCAUAUUUUUUGUUCUACGCUUAUUCCUGUUAUUUUGUCUUGGCAUAUUACAGCUGAUGGGAAAAUAUGCUCUAAAAAAUUCUUAUUCAGAGCAAUCAGCACUUAAAAGUUUGAAUACUCCUUCAAAAUGGUAAGCUAGCUGUACAUACACAUUCUGAUGUGAUUAUGAGAAGCAAUGUUGCAGCAGAAUUCAAGUAUUGUAGCCAGCCAAAGGGAGAAGUAAUGUAGCCGCAGAUUAUAAGAAGUGAUAGCAUUUUUUUAUUCUUGUUUCCAUGUACUUUCUCUUGUGAAUACAAUGUAUUCAGUCAAUGUGGCUUUGUAGUAAUCUAGGACUAGUUGAUCUCGCUUUAGGUAAUGUAUAAAGCAGAUCAGACCUGUGAAUUCGUGAUUUGUAUAAUGGAUAAAACAUACAUAUUCAUGAUGUAUAUAAGACAUAUUUGAUGUCCA